UAGAGGUUUGGUCCCGGCCUUCUUAUUGACUAUAAGUAGACUUAUACAUGCAAGUUUCAGCAUGCCAGUGAAAAUGCCCUUUAACUCUUUAACAGAUAAAAAGGUGCGGGUAUCAAGCCCACUAUCGUAGCUCAAGACACCUUGCUUAGCCACGCCCCUACGGGAUACAGCAGUAACGAAUAUUAAGCCAUGAACGAAAGUUUGACUUAGUUAUACUUCUCAGAGUUGGUCAAUUUCGUGCCAGCAACCGCGGUCAUACGAACAACUCAAGUUAAUAAGUUUCGGUGUAAAGUGUGAUUAGGAUGUUAACACAAUAGAAUUAAAACUUCUCUAUGCUGUAGAAAGCUAAAGAGAUUAUCUAAAUAAACUACGAAAGUGAUUCUACCGCUUCUGAACUCACGAUAGCUAAGAAACAAACUGGGAUUAGAUACCCCACUAUGCUUAGCCCUAAACCUUGAUAGUUAAUAACAAGACUAUCCACCAGAGAACUACUAGCCAGCGCUUAAAACUUAAAGGACUUGGCGGUACUUUAGACCCACCUAGAGGAGCCUGUUAUGUAAUCGAUAAACCCCGAUACACCCCACCAUCAUUUGCUAAAUCAGUCUAUAUACCGCCAUCUUCAGCGAACCCUGAAAAGGCAAAAUAGUAAGCCUAAUCAUCUCACACAUAAAAACGUUAGGUCAAGGUGUAACCCAUAUGAUGGGAUCUAAUGGGCUACAUUUUCUCUACCCAGAACACACGAAAGCCUUUAUGAAACUCAAAGGCUAAAGGAGGAUUUAGCAGUAAGCUAAGAAUAGAGUGCUUAGCUGAAACCGGACAUGAAGUACGCACACACCGCCCGUCACCCUCCUCAACCUCAACUAAAAUGCUUUAUACAUAAACUCAAGCAUUACCAGAAUUCAGAGGAGACAAGUCGUAACAAGGUAAGCAUACUGGAAAGUGUGCUUGGAAAACUUC
The sequence is a non-coding RNA, 957 nucleotides long. It matches the Rfam family "Bacterial small subunit ribosomal RNA".